CACAAGCCUGUCUGCAUUUCCAGGUCUCUCCCUGGACGUGCUUCCUCUCCAGUGUAUCGCACCUUAUUCGCAAUUUCUUUCCCAACCAAUUCGUCAUCUUUUUAGCAACAACAGAGUUGAAUGUCUGAGGAAACACGAUUGAAGAAUGGCCAGGAGGGACUAACGGCUCCCAGGCCAGAAGAUCAGGCAGUGAAAGUGAUCGAUGGCUAAUCAAGAACGAAGGAGGGCUUGUUAAUUCAUAUGGGGGGAACUCUACCGUCCAUCCAUUGAUUUCUCAUGGCGCCUGCCCACCUAUUCAUCCAUUCACCCAUCUAAAAGGUAACUACGCCAGCUCCACUUUGGAUCCAGCCUCUUAUGAAGAUUUCAGAUGCCCCAACACCUGUGAAGAGAUGACGCCAACCCCUGCGAGGACUUCAGCAAGUUGAGGAACAGUCUCUUCCGUGGAGCAGCAAAUUGUGCAAAAAAACGUUUGUACACUCGCUCCAUAUUUGAUCCAUCUGCCAGCCCUACUCAACGGAUUAAAGGCACGUCUAUCAUGUGGCGUCUCUGUAAAACUCCCUCCCCUCCCUCGUUCUUUCUCUUCCUCACACUCAUAACUGCAUUUCUGCCUCUUCAAAUAAAACAGUAGGAUUGAUUUUUUUUUUUUUUUUCUCCAUAAAAGCCGGGUGAAGUGAACCAAAUGAAUGGGCGGAGGGGAGGGGGAUCUUUUUCUAGGGACAGGAGAGAACAAUUCCAAUCUCAAAGUCAGUUUGAUGCAGGCCAAUCACUCUAAAUUGCUGUCAUUGUGAGUUGCUUGAAUGAAAAGCAUGUAGUAGAAGAACAGAUUUAAACGUAGUUUGUUCAGAACCCACUGCUGCCCAAAAAUACACUUAGUCUCUCAAGGUCAGAUCUUUUCAAAGAUUUCGGAAGACAGUAAACCAUAUACAGUACGCACAUUUUUUCUAGUCAGAUGUCCUUGAGUAAGUCAAGGUUUUUCAAACUGAGGUGGGCUCCUAAUAAAUAACAUUCCAAAAAAGAUACCAUUUUUAAUUAUAUUUUUUUUGUUUUGUCUUUAGUACAAUGACAAAUUAGGGCCAAAUAUUUAAUUUUGGAAACAGCAUGUUGUCUUUAAUAUCACACCUGUUAUUUCACACACAGUAUAAAUAGCACCAUUGAGAUACUAUUAUUUUUUAUUAAUAUUUUGAAUGAGAUUUUGCUUAUAUUUUACAUUUAAAUUUUCAUUUUAGUAAAUUUCUGUUUUUGUCAGUUACGUUUUUGUUUUUUAAAACAAGUAUAUGUCAUUUUUAUUUUAGUUUUCAAGUUAAAUUAAAUGAAAAUGGGAAAUGUUAACGUUUAUUUCAAGUAACAAUUUUAGUUCAGUUAUAAUAAUAACUCUGAUAAAUAGGUCUUUAUACAUCAAGGUUUAUAGCAGCCUUUCCUUCCAAGGGGACCAUCAUAUUUGGGCGUUUUUCUCAUCAAAAAGUAAAACCCACAGGUAUUGGUCACAGUGACUUGAAAGGUUCAUUUUAAAGAGUUUUCAGAUUGAUUUAACAUAAUAUUAUAUCUUGCUGUGUCUUUGACUCCUGUGUGUGUGUUUAUGUUUGGGUCCGUCUCAGCAGUGGGACUCAAUAGAUGGUGUCUUACCUCCCUGAUGGAGUGGUUACCUGGAUACUGCAUGCAUAAAUAAUUGGGCCUGAGACAAGAGAAGCCAGCGCUACUUCAUGGCAUCAGUUAUGCAAAUUUGGCUUGGUGGAUGAUAAACCUGCAGACUUACAGACAGAGGGAGCAGAGCCAUUUCUAGGCACUUGUUGCGGUCACGAUUUUCAUUUCAGUUUAGAAUAUAUCAAUAUAACAUUUCAUUAAAUAAACUCAUACUUCUUAGUACUUUACCAUGGCAAUUUAGUUAAUUCCACAAACUCACACAUUAAGCCUUUGCUUUUUAAUUUUUAUCCUAGUGUGAGUGCCUGAGACUAUGAGUGUGUUAUAAGUGAGGCUCUCUUAUUCAAAGAGCAGCAGUAGGAAUUAAUUUUACACCCAAGCAGCAUACCUUGCAUCGCUGUUUUGAGUGAACAUUUCAUAAGUGCCACAGAAAACAGUAAUAUGCAAAAGAACACACUUUUCUAUUUAAAAAGCCAAAUGUUGAUCUAUAUUAGGGAUGCACCGAUAUUACAAUUCCGGAUGAUAAUUAUCAUCAUGUUAUGGCCAAUAACUGACAGAUGAGACAAAUUAAAUUCUAUACGAUUUUGUUUAAAUAAUAUAAACAAUAAAAACUAAACUCAAUUUUAAAUGCUAAGUUAUUUAGAAAUGCUAAAGUGAAUUUGGUCAUUAUAGCAUGUGGGUAAUGGAUAUUCAUUAGACUUCUUUAAGAUUAAGAUUCCUAUGCAUCUUAUAAUAUUUAUGUGGGGCUUACUAUAUUUCCUGUAAUAGGA
Molecule: long non-coding RNA, 2408 nt
Organism: Megalobrama amblycephala (Wuchang bream)
Lineage: Eukaryota; Metazoa; Chordata; Actinopteri; Cypriniformes; Xenocyprididae
Exons: 5
Source: RefSeq, a predicted model, not a curated record